AUACUUACCUGGCAGGGGAAGGACCAUGAGCAAGGAAGGUGGUUCACCCAGGGCGAGGGCUUUAACAUUGGCACUCCGGUAUGCUGACCCCUGCGUAAUUCCCCAAAUGGGGAAUCUCGACGCAUAUGUGUGGUAGUGGGGGAGCGUUCGCGCUCUCCCAAA
Molecule: small nuclear RNA, 162 nt
Organism: Etheostoma spectabile (orangethroat darter)
Lineage: Eukaryota; Metazoa; Chordata; Actinopteri; Perciformes; Percidae
Product: U1 spliceosomal RNA
Exons: 1
Source: RefSeq, a predicted model, not a curated record